GCAAUUUUAGUGAUGAACUUAUAGUUCAGCUGAUAUAUUGUGCUGAUAAACAUAUAAUUGUCUUUCGCUCCUAUCUGAAAAAUUGC
This is a small nucleolar RNA of Uloborus diversus, 86 nucleotides long. RefSeq annotates it as small nucleolar RNA snR60/Z15/Z230/Z193/J17. The record is from RefSeq and is a predicted model, not a curated record. Lineage: Eukaryota; Metazoa; Arthropoda; Arachnida; Araneae; Uloboridae. The transcript has a single exon.